UUAACGACUCUCGGCAACGGAUAUCUCGCGUCUCGCAUCGAUGAAGAACGUAGCGAAAUGCGAUACUUGGUGUGAAUUGCAGAAUCCCGUGAACCAUCGAGUCUUUGAACGCAAGUUGCGCCCAAAGCCAUUAGGCCGAGGGCACGUCUGCCUGGGCGUCACGUA
RNAcentral lists this ribosomal RNA (165 nucleotides) under Noahdendron nicholasii. RNAcentral describes it as "5.8S ribosomal RNA". It matches the Rfam family "5.8S ribosomal RNA". Rfam says of the family: 5.8S ribosomal RNA (5.8S rRNA) is a component of the large subunit of the eukaryotic ribosome. It is transcribed by RNA polymerase I as part of the 45S precursor that also contains 18S and 28S rRNA. The record is from RNAcentral. Lineage: Eukaryota; Viridiplantae; Streptophyta; Magnoliopsida; Saxifragales; Hamamelidaceae.